GUCCUUAUAUACUUGGCCAGAAACAUCCCUUCUGCCAUAGGUAGAUGCAUUGUACUUGAAAUAAGUACCAAUCUUUUGACAUUCUAGACUUGGAAUACUAAAAGAUAUAACUGAUAUCAUUUUUUAGGGACUUGCCAAUACAUGAACUAGUCUUGGAAAUAAUUAAGAACACAAGAAACUAAUUUGAAUGCAAAUAGCUCAACUCAGAAUGUACCUUUGGGCAGUCUGACCACCUCUGACUAAAAAUGG
Molecule: long non-coding RNA, 249 nt
Filed under: Daucus carota (carrot)
Lineage: Eukaryota; Viridiplantae; Streptophyta; Magnoliopsida; Apiales; Apiaceae
Description: long non-coding RNA (DCAR_LNC000097)
Source: RNAcentral